Long non-coding RNA from Lagopus muta (rock ptarmigan), 4823 nucleotides. RefSeq lists it as uncharacterized. Lineage: Eukaryota; Metazoa; Chordata; Aves; Galliformes; Phasianidae. The transcript has 6 exons. The record is from RefSeq and is a predicted model, not a curated record.
GCAGGGUCAACCCAGGAGGAGCUCAGGUGCAUGCAGUGCAUUGAGUGACUGGAAGGGGUAGAUCCUGGUUCUAUCCCUUCCCAGACCUCAUUUGAAUACUACAGUGGAGGUGAGGGUAUCUGGUUGGAGAUCUCUGUGUGACAGUGGCCUUCUGAAAAAUAGAAAAGGAGGGAGGAAGGAAGAAAGAAAAAAAAAGAGGAAAAGAGAAAACUCAUUACUUAAGCUGAGCUGAAGGAAAAUACACUGCAAUAUGCACCCAGCACAAGGAGAGUGAAAUGGCACAGUGCUGGUGUAAUUGUAAAUGGCUAUAGAAAAUAUAAUCUUUUGUGAAGAAUUCCCAGGGCAUGGUCUCCAUUUAUCAGGAGCAGUACAAGAGCACUGUGCUGUAGCCAUGGACCACCCGCUGACCGGACAUCUCAGAUGCUCUCCAACAGUUUACUUUUACAGCCUGUACUGCAAAAGCCAACAUCAGCAUCACUUAAUAAGUUUGCAGAGAGAUGUAACUUCUCAUCUUCAACACAACUAGACUUGACGUGAGGAGCAGCAAAAAGGGAGAGUUCAGCAGUGUUCAGGACCAUGUUGCUUAGUGACAUUCCCAUACAAUCCAAGAGAUUUCAAGAGCAUCUGGCAAAUCUGAUAAUGAGCAGUACUGUAGGAAGAGAAACUUGGAGAAAUUGAGGCACAGUCUUACCGGGUUAUGCUCUAGCCUCAAGACUGGUGUCAGAGCAGGAGAGACUCCAACUCCUUUCACCCGAGUGGGUAGCAGUAGCCAAAAUUUCUUCAGUGUUUCUUCCAUGGCAUGCCUCCAAGUGGAGUCCUCAUAACAAAGCUGGACUAAUAUCCCAAAAAGGAGGCUCUGGAACAGAUGCAGGUGCUGGGAGAUCAGACACCUCUAGUCUGGUGGGAGCAAAAUGUGGAGACAAUAGCAAGACUGAGGUUUCAUAUGGUCACCCAUCUCCAUACAGCCUUCAGCAGGUAAGAGAGCUUCACUGCACAACAUGGGGAAACCAAAGGAGGGCAUCCAGUUCAUCAUGGUUAGCAUGGAAGCUUCUCCCACUGUGUUUAAACAACACUGCUUUGUGGACUAGAGCUAUGUGUAAAUAUCUUGGCUUCUCAUCAAGUAACAUUUCUCACCUCAUUUUGUUAAUGACUACCAGGAGGAAAGUAUUUGGUAUUCCUCAUGAACUCUCAUGGCAGUUCCAGGAAGGACAUAUUUAGGGUUUGUCGCCCAUCCCAGGCAAUAUUCAGCUUACAGAAGCUGCCAGGGAGCUGGAAGAUUGUAUAAGGACACGAAAGCAGCUGAGCUGGGUCUAACCACAAGUCCAUCUAGCCCUGCAGCCUGGAGAAAGUAAGAAUGAGACAAAUAUAUAUGCUAUUUCCCCCAGGACUGACUAAACAUAUUUAGUCUCUGCAUAUUUGCUAACUCAGUGAAUUGCUUCCUCAUGUACUCAUCCGUUCUCCUCCAGAUACCUUUCUGCAUCUGUGACAUCCUCCAUCUUCCUUUUCUUCCUGAUUCUGACCCUGUAUCCCCAGCCACAUUUAGUGCCCAACUCAUGGGUGCCAACCUCAGUCCCCCUUCCUUACUACCUCUAACAUACAGCAUCUGUGAGCUGCGUGUGGUGAAAGAGUUAAUGUUCAGCCCUCCAGCCAGCACACUCCAGCCACAGAGUAUGUGCAGAUAAUGCUCCACAUAUGUUCUGUACUAGACAGGUAUGCAAGACAAGAUAGCAAUCAGCUGACACAUUUUGUAGUUACAAAGGCUGAGAGUGCUGAGAACUCACGCACCAGGAGGAAGGAGAGGGCUCAGCAUGUUGGAGCACAACGCCAGGUUCUGCUUCGGCUCUGCACAAGUGAGAAAGCUUUCUUCAGUUCUCCUAGCUGAAAGUGUGUGAAUAGCUGAGGCUGGGGAAUAAGUUGCCCCCUGCCAACACACACAGACACACACACACAAUCGUUUCUUCCAUCCAUAUCUCCCCAGGGCAACUGAGUUUCUGGUUAAACCCAGUGCUGAGUCACUGACAAAUAAAUUCAAACCAAUAUGAAAGUCUUCCUACUUGACAGCAAUUCAAAAAAGCACAAAUGAGCAAAAGAGAUUGAAGAAACAGAAGUGAAGAAGCUGGGAGUCCUGAGGAGGAUCCUACAGGAGCUACCUCAGCACCUUCUCCCUGCAACAGCCUGCCCCAGCAAAAUCAGGGCCAUCUCUUUCCUGACACCCCUGCCAUAUAGUGACAAACCAGAAAAGUCUAAUGCUGAUUCCUGAGAGAUGCCAAGCAACCCUCCACUUCCAUGUCUUAUUAGGAGACGGCAGAGUUUUGCUCCUGGAAGGAUGAGAUCUUGGUCUUGGAGAGGAGACCCCUAUUUAUGGCUGGAUAUGAAUUACAGCCAUCUGAGCCUUUGUCCCAUGCUGUGAUGGGUGGCAGAGCUGCUGUCUGAGCUGUUCUGGCCAAUUUUUACAAUGGUGCCAUUAUACAUCAGCCAUCUGGUAGACGUAGCCUGUAUUUUUUCUGCAUCUAGCCCCGUGUUGGCAGAUGUUAGAUGGAAAGGAAGGUUGGCGGGCAGAACAGGGAUUUGACAUCUUGUCCCUUUUCCCCUUUGCUAACAUUCCUUUGGCUUGUAAGCCUGAUAAACCAGCAGACUGUUAUCAGAUAAGUUCUCUGCAAGGACAUGGCUUCGCAUGUUUUUCAUCCUUUUCUUUUAAGACUUCAACAGCCACUUACAAGCAGAUUUCCCAGGAUUCAGUGAGGAAAAGCCUGUCCAGUAAAGCAACUAAGUGAAAUUCUGAGUUUAGCUUUGUUUGUUGUAGGAAGGUGGAAAUGACACAUCCUCCAAAAUGUCCUUGGGGGUCACUGGUAUUCUUGGUUAUAAAAACUCUUGUGAGCAUCAAGGGCAAUGCAGAGUGUGUCUGGCAGAGGAAAGCAGAAGGAGGAUGGAGGCCUUCAACAGGUUGCAGCUGCACAGGUUUCACAUUCAGGCUGCCCCACAGCCCUUUAUCCUGUAAGGAAAGUAUGCAUUCUCCACCAAAUAUGGCUGUCUUGCCUCAGCUGAUGAUGCUGAUUGCUGUUAUUCAUUAUUUUAGGACUCAAACAGGGGAUUAAGGUCUCAUUGUUCUCAGCACUGGAUUAACAGAAUAAGGAUGAGAAGAUCUCUGGUAACCAAACCCAGCAGGAGAGGGACUCCUGACAGCCAGCCCCUCUGCUGGAUGAGCUAUCCUGGGGGCACUGGGCUGGAGCUAAAAGCAAAAGGAGAACCAAGCGAGCAGAUUUGCUGCCCGCACCACAAAGCUGCGGACGCAGCAGAGCUGUGCUCCUCUCCAAGCAGGCCUGGUGGCUUCUGCCAAGGGCAGACUCAUCAAGAAGUUUGUCCAAAGACAGUGUGUCUCACUCUCCGAGUUUAACAUGACGCCUUUUGGUCUCUGCAAUUCCCCUAGCACCUCUCAAAGGCGCAUGGAUUUGAUUUUGGCAGCUGUUCAGUGGGCCACAUGUUCGGCUGAUCUGGAUGAUGUGAUUGUUUUUGGGAGGACUUUCCAGGAACAUUAAAAUUGCCUGGAGGACGUGUGUAGCUGGCCAGAGCGGGCUGCUCUGAAAGCAGAAACCCAUCCAACUGUGACGAGUGCCGGUCCCAGGUGCAGUCUGUUGGUUGUAUCAUUUCUCCAGCAGGGUGUGCCUCUGCAUCCCACCAGGACAGGCACUCUUGACACAAACCUACCCCAGGAAUGGCAGCUGGAAGGAGACACUCUGGCCCUGCAUGAGGCAUGCGAGUCCUAGUUUUGCUUCAUAUUAUCUGGCAAAAGAGGAAGAAAGGGAGGGAGACAUGAAAGAAGAGCCUGGACCUGAAUCCGUGGCCUGGGGGCAGGCUUGCAGCAGCAUUUCUUAGCUUUCUCAAGGUGUGUGCAAUGUACUGCUGAGAUGCUGAUCCUGCUGCUUGUCAAUAUCGCUGCCUUCCUGCAGCACUACUUGGCAUUUGGACCUCAGUAAUGCAUCCCAGGGAGGUGGCACUGAGAAGUUCUGAACUGUACAGCACAGUGCUCCAGAGGGUUUCCUCCAGAGGAAGGAAAAAUAAAGACAAUCUUGAAUAAGCCGGGAAGAAAAAUAAGGGAUGUUCCUUGGAAUACAGUGUAGGGCUCCUUGUAGCUGGAGGAUCUUGUGGCUGAACAUCGGCCCAAGGAGCUGCCACGAGCAGGAGUGGUGGAGCCUGGGGUUGGUGUCACGCUGACUACCAGUGAGCAAAAGCAUGGGGUGCACUGCUCCAGCAGUAGCACUCUCAGAUCAGAUGAAAUAGAUCCCGAAACGCAGAGAUUUCCACUGUCAUGCUUGACAGAUAACGUCAGAAAAAGGACUCCGCUUUAAGACAGUUUUUCUGUCGUCAGGAGGAAAAAAAAAAAAAAAAAAAGUAGUACUGUGCCAGCUUCUCUAGAUACAGUGGAAAAUGGCCAGUAACAGGUGGCUUUCUAAGUGAGGCCACUAGAGAACAGUGAGCACAAUCCCAGCCCUGACUGCUCACUCUUUUCUUCCAGAGCCCUCCUGGCCGUCUCUCAGCAUCGUCCUCUAUGGACCUGUUUGGCCUCUCGGGAGGGGCACAGAUGGAUCUUUCAGCAGAGAAAUCCUGAGUUCAGAUGGGGAUACCUUUUGUGGAAGCCUUUUGUAAAGCAAACUUCACACAAACACUCAUGGCAUUCAAAACCUCCUUGGAGGCUCAUCACAUUUCUUCCCUAUUUGUAAUGUGCUUCAGCAAAACUCAUUGUCCAUCAAGUCCAUGUGUCCAAGAUCAUGUGGUAGGAAUCCUGGAGCGUGUGUGGAAUUGAUUGCAUUUUGCUGUUGAAUAUU